RNAcentral lists this ribosomal RNA (433 nucleotides) under uncultured bacterium. RNAcentral's name for it is "partial 16S ribosomal RNA". It matches the Rfam family "Bacterial small subunit ribosomal RNA", at positions 29 to 507 of the family's 1533-position model. The record is from RNAcentral.
AACGAACGCUGGCGGCAUGCCUAACACAUGCAAGUCGAACGAGACCUUCGGGUCUAUUGGCGCACGGGUGCGUAACGCGUGGGAACCUGCCCUUAGGUUCGGAAUAACUCCCCGAAAGGGGUGCUAAUACCGGAUAAUGUCUUCGGACCAAAGAUUUAUCGCCUUUGGAUGGGCCCGCGUUGGAUUAGCUAGUUGGUAGGGUAAAAGCCUACCAAGGCGACGAUCCAUAGCUGGUCUGAGAGGAUGAUCAGCAACACUGGGACUGAGACACGGCCCAGACUCCUACGGGAGGCAGCAGUGGCGAAUAUUGGAAAAUGGGCGAAAGCCUGAUCCAGCAAUGCCGCGUGAGUGAUGAAGGCCUUAGGGUUGUAAAGCUAUUUUACACGGGAUGAUAAUGACAGUACCGGGAGAAUAAGCUCCGGCUAACUCCGUG